This is a long non-coding RNA of Alligator mississippiensis (American alligator), 1734 nucleotides long. RefSeq lists it as uncharacterized. NCBI's taxonomy places the organism in Eukaryota, Metazoa, Chordata, Crocodylia, Alligatoridae. The transcript has 2 exons. The record is from RefSeq and is a predicted model, not a curated record.
GGGGACUGCAGAAAACUCUGAUCAAUUCUGUGCUGCAAAGAGCUCAGAGAGACCACAGCUGGUCAGAAUGUUUUUGACGCUAUUGAUUCCUAUGUGAAAUCUCUGGGUUUAAUUUAUGAGUCAGGUGUGUAAGCCUCACAUGUUUGCAGCCAUGGUGCCCUGGGUGAGACUCACUGGUGUAGAAAACCUGCGCAUCUAACUUGGGGCCCUGGAUCUCGCCAGGCAGCAAGAAGUCAGGGAGUCUGGCACACCAAGCAGUAUGGCAAAACUGACAUCCCUUUGUGUGGCUCUAGCACUUAGUUCGGAUCCUGCAGGAGACUCCCUUGUUCCAACCUUUUAGACAACCUGGUCUCCAGAUGUAGCUGGGGGGGAAAAAAGGGAGAGAAGGCUGCUGAUGGGUGGCUCUAGGAUUUUGAAAGGGGGUGGGGGUACAGGAGAUGUGACGGGUGCCCCAGGUUGUGGAUGUAACUCCCUGCUCCCAGUGCCAGCCUCCCCUUACCUGGCUAGGUCGACAAGAUGGUGGUAGAGGUGGCAGCAGCUAGGGAUUUCUGGGUUCGCCAAAGCAGGUAAGACUCCCCUCACCCCUGGGUUUUGGCAGCCCCUCCCCUCCAGAGUUCAGCAACAUCUCCCCUCCCUCCUUGUCCCUCACUCUCCCCAGGGUGCAAGAAGGCAGAAUCUACUUGCCACUGCCCACAUCACUGGCCAAAUGCAGCACCGCAUGCAGCUGAGCACAGGACCUUCCUGCAGCUGGAGCCCCUGUGAGCAGGAAGAUAAUGUCUAGUCCCCUUGGUUUGUCAUCUGCAGCCAUCAGUGCAACAAGGAGACUUAGAAAGUUUGGGAGCUCAGUAAAUACAAGAGUGAAGAACAUUGUUCCCUUCCCAGGAUCUCUCUCUCCACAUCCCAACAUGCUUCUGUCCCUUUCCCCUGCUUCUUGCAGCCAGUUUUAGGCAGAUGCACAGAGAAGUAAGGCUGCAAGGGACCUCAAGAGAUCAUCAAUCUAACCCAUGGCCUUGGUAUUAGCACCAUGCUCUAACCAUCUGAGCUACUAACAGCCUUGUGUCUUCCUCUUUCCUUUUAUUCCUCUGCUGGGCCAGUGAGCCAGAGCUACUACUACUGGCUACCUCAAAACAUGGUCAUGGCAAGAAGUUUGCUGUGGCUCAGAGCAACUUUCAAGAGAGUUUUUCUUUUCUCUUCAUGCCAAAGAACGUCUGGGACUUCAGGUUUGGGAAGAAAGACAUCAGAUGGCAUCAUACAGGUCAUACAAUCACAUGUGAGCUGACAAGCUCAAAAUAAUUAGUUAAAAAUGGCCUGGGCCCAAACCCCUUCAUUAUGAGGCUUUGGUUAAGCCAGUGCUGCCUUUUCCUACUGCAUGGCUAUUUGCUGUUGGAGUUCCUGUACCUAUAAAGAAAGAUAACUUUAUGAGUAUCUAUCUAUCUAUCUAUCUAUCUAUCUAUCUAUCUAUCUAUGCUGCCUUUUCUUACUGCAUGGCUAUUUGCUGUUGGAAUUCUUUAACUAUAAAGAAAAAUAUAAGUUCCUGAGCCUUUGUCUGUCUGUCUGGCAUGCAUAUGUAUCUGUAUCUAUGGAUAUCUCUAUAUCUUUUUAUAUAUAGGCAUACAUACAUACGUGUGUGUGUGUGUGUGUGCAAGUAUACAUGCAUGCAUGUGUGUGUGUGUGUGUGUGUAAACUGUACCAUAUAUAAAAUAUUAAAGCAUUUCCUUUCAGAAACUCUUGAAA